AUUGCUAAGACAGCUAGGAUGUUGGCUUGGAAGCAGCCAUUCAUUUAAAGAGUGCGUAACAGCUCACUAGUCGAGGAGUUUGGCGUGGAUAAUAAUCGGGCAUAAGUGUUUUACCGAAGCUAUGGGAUCCUAAUGGAUCGGUAGGGGAGCAUUCCACUCGGCGUUGAAGGCGAAGCGUGAGCUUUACUGGAGCGUGUGGAAAAGCAAAUGUAGGUAUAAGUAACGAUAAAGGGGGUGAGAAACCCCCUCGCCGCAAGACUAAG
This 263-nucleotide ribosomal RNA is filed under the name Bacteroides fragilis. Its description in RNAcentral is "partial 23S ribosomal RNA". It matches the Rfam family "Bacterial large subunit ribosomal RNA", at positions 1080 to 1349 of the family's 2925-position model. The record is from RNAcentral. Lineage: Bacteria; Pseudomonadati; Bacteroidota; Bacteroidia; Bacteroidales; Bacteroidaceae.